UAGCUCAGCCGGACAGAGCAAUUGCCUUCUAAGCAAUCGGUCACUGGUUCGAAUCCAG
RNAcentral lists this transfer RNA (58 nucleotides) under Escherichia coli. Its description in RNAcentral is "tRNA-Arg". It matches the Rfam family "tRNA", at positions 8 to 62 of the family's 71-position model. Rfam says of the family: Transfer RNA (tRNA) molecules are approximately 80 nucleotides in length. Their secondary structure includes four short double-helical elements and three loops (D, anti-codon, and T loops). The record is from RNAcentral. RNAcentral also lists the same sequence under 1 other name. Lineage: Bacteria; Pseudomonadati; Pseudomonadota; Gammaproteobacteria; Enterobacterales; Enterobacteriaceae.